UUCAAGACCAAACAGCCUUGACGCUGUCUGUGGAAAGAAAGAGUCAAGACAUUGACUGUUUGUCAAAUAACAGGCUCUUUAAUAUGAAGCUUUGGACACGGUGUCAAACAGGGUGUUCUUAUUGGAACAGUGUAAAGUGUGGCUUUCUGACCUCUGCUUUUAUCCACAUGUCCACACAUCCACAGGGGGCCUACAUGUGAGCUAUCAUGCAUACAGUGUCUAAUGAAUGCAUCUAUCAAAGCAUAAACACAGAGUUAAUUAAAAAGAAACAGGUUGUUAAAACAGUAUAACAAAUGACGGAUUUUGUCACAGUUUGUGGUUCACAGUGCUAUGAUGAUCAAAGAGUCCCUUUCGUCUUUUUUAUCAUGGUGAGGAUCAGAGGUCACUUGGAGGUUAUGAACAAUGUCCUACUGUGAAAUCUGUUUUAUGACAGUGUCUUUUCUUGCAUUAUAAUUGAUCAGAGUUGCGUCACUCAUAGGUCAUUUGUGUGAUAAGACUCAAGGUAUGUUUAUAUCAGAUGUGCUGGAAGGCUGAAGGAAUGUCUUAUCAGAUGCUUUUCACAGUGAUCAUGGGGUUACAAGCAGGCAAACAGAACAUUUAGUUAACAGAAAAGCAAUAUUUAUCAUUUUGGUUUCCACACAGUGUAUAUGGAUGAAGCAUCCUGAGUUGUCUUCUUGAAUUAGUUCAUAAGUUCGCCUCAUUUUUGACUGAGAUUUGAUUGAAAAGAUUUGCUCUCUAAGUAGAUUAAGGCAAAUGAGCCUUCACAGCAGUCAUU
Thalassophryne amazonica is the source of this 775-nucleotide long non-coding RNA. RefSeq lists it as uncharacterized. Lineage: Eukaryota; Metazoa; Chordata; Actinopteri; Batrachoidiformes; Batrachoididae. The transcript has 3 exons. The record is from RefSeq and is a predicted model, not a curated record.